This 170-nucleotide ribosomal RNA is filed under the name Chytridiomycota sp. RNAcentral describes it as "partial small subunit ribosomal RNA". It matches the Rfam family "Eukaryotic small subunit ribosomal RNA", at positions 1352 to 1542 of the family's 1831-position model. Lineage: Eukaryota; Fungi; Chytridiomycota. The record is from RNAcentral.
UAAAUAGCAACGCGCACUUUGGUGCUGCGGUCUGCUUCUUAGAGGGACUGUCGAUGUUUAAUCGACGGAAGUUUGAGGCAAUAACAGGUCUGUGAUGCCCUUAGAUGUUCUGGGCCGCACGCGCGCUACACUGAUCAAGUCAGCGAGUGUAUCACCUUGGCCGGAAGGUC